CGGAUUAAUUGGGAGGCAUUGCCUGCCCAGUGACAACUGUUUAACGGCCGCGGUAUCCUGACCGUGCAAAGGUAGCAUAAUCAUUUGUUCUCUAAAUAAGGACUUGUAUGAAUGGCCGCACGAGGGUUUUACUGUCUCUUACUUCCAAUCAGUGAAAUUGACCUUCCCGUGAAGAGGCGGGAAUGCACAAAUAAGACGAGAAGACCCUAUGGAGCUUUAACUAACCAACCCAAAGAGAAUAGAUUUAACCAUUAAGGAAUAACAACAAUCUCCAUGAGUUGGUAGUUUCGGUUGGGGUGACCUCGGAGAAUAAAAAAUCCUCCGAGCGAUUUUAAAGACUAGACCCACAAGUCAAAUCACUCUAUCGCUCAUUGAUCCAAAAACUUGAUCAACGGAACAAGUUACCCUAGGGAUAACAGCGCAAUCCUAUUCAAGAGUCCAUAUCGACAAUAGGGUUUACGACCUCGAUGUUGGAUCAGGACAUCCUGAUGGUGCAACCGCUAUCAAAGGUUCGUUUGUUCAACGAUUAAAGUCCUACGUGAUCUGAGUUCAGACCGGA
RNAcentral lists this ribosomal RNA (559 nucleotides) under Phascolosoma esculenta. RNAcentral describes it as "partial 16S ribosomal RNA". It matches the Rfam family "Bacterial large subunit ribosomal RNA", at positions 1838 to 2620 of the family's 2925-position model. The record is from RNAcentral. Lineage: Eukaryota; Metazoa; Annelida; Sipuncula; Phascolosomatiformes; Phascolosomatidae.